CACGUCUGCAGGAGUUUUCUGUUUGUUGGUUCCUCCUCCGACCACCAGGUGGCGCCUCCUGCUGUGGAUUGAGGCUGUUGGUGAGAAAGUGGAGGUGGAUCAGCUGCAGCUGACGCUGGUUUGUUGUUGUUUCUGUUGUGGCUGUACAGUGGCUCCAGAUCCAGGAUGCAGGACACUGAAUCCAGUGUCUCAUGUGGCCCUGCAGCUUCUCCUCAGAAUCCUCAGAGGCCGACUUAGAAUCACUCCCACUGGGAAGACGUGUGAAGGAAGGUCCACCCGGCCGGUCCAGGAGCUCCGGUCCAGCAGAGCAGCGUCAGGAUGGAGACGCAAGCAGGCGAGUUAACCAGAGAGCCGACACGUUCACACCGACAGCUUCCCUCCAGAUCACACUUUAUGUCUUCAACUAGGACUGGAGGUCAUUUGUUUGGAGCUAAACUCUGCUGGGUUCUUCUGUAGUCCAUCCUUUUAAUGAAGUGACAAAGUUCUUCACAAAAUGAAAUGGAACAAUCACAAAAUGAUUGGAAUGAGAAAACCAGAUUAAAACGAUUUGAUUCAA
This is a long non-coding RNA of Acanthochromis polyacanthus (spiny chromis), 556 nucleotides long. RefSeq lists it as uncharacterized. NCBI's taxonomy places the organism in Eukaryota, Metazoa, Chordata, Actinopteri, Pomacentridae. The transcript has 2 exons. The record is from RefSeq and is a predicted model, not a curated record.